This 429-nucleotide ribosomal RNA is filed under the name Actinomycetes bacterium. RNAcentral describes it as "Actinobacteria bacterium partial 16S ribosomal RNA". It matches the Rfam family "Bacterial small subunit ribosomal RNA", at positions 355 to 776 of the family's 1533-position model. Lineage: Bacteria; Bacillati; Actinomycetota; Actinomycetes. The record is from RNAcentral.
UAGGGAAUCUUCCGCAAUGGGCGAAAGCCUGACGGAGCAACGCCGCGUGAGUGAUGAAGGUCUUCGGAUCGUAAACCUCUGUUAUUAGGGAAGAACAAAUGUGCAAGUAACUAUGCCCGUCUUGACGGUACCUAAUCAGAAAGCCACGGCUCACUACGUGCCAGCAGCCUCUGUAAUACGUAGGUGGCAAGCGUUAUCCGGAAGUAUUGGGCGUAAAGCGCGCGUAGGAGGUUUUUUAAGUCUAAGGUGAAAGCCCACAGCUCAACCGUGGAGGUGCAUUGGAAACUGGAUAACUUGAGUGCAGAACAGGAAAGUGGAAUUCCAUGUGUGUCGGUGAAAUGCGCAGAGAUAUGUAGGAACACCAGUGGCGCAGGCGACUUUCUGAUCUGUAACUGACGCUGAUGUGCGAACGCGUGAUGAUCAAACUGU